This 234-nucleotide ribosomal RNA is filed under the name uncultured bacterium. Its description in RNAcentral is "partial 16S ribosomal RNA". It matches the Rfam family "Bacterial small subunit ribosomal RNA", at positions 1258 to 1500 of the family's 1533-position model. The record is from RNAcentral.
CGACCGGAUGCGGAUCUCGAAAGCCUGUCCCAGUUCGGACUGGAGUCUGCAACCCGACUCCACGAAGUUGGAUUCGCUAGUAAUCGCGCAUCAGCCAUGGCGCGGUGAAUACGUUCCCGGGCCUUGUACACACCGCCCGUCAAGCCAUGGGAGCCGGGGGCGCCUGAAGUCCGGGACCGCGAGGACCGGCCUAGGGCGAAACUGGUGACUGGGGCUAAGUCGUAACAAGGUAGC